Molecule: ribosomal RNA, 198 nt
Filed under: uncultured bacterium
Lineage: Bacteria
Description: partial 16S ribosomal RNA
Rfam family: Bacterial small subunit ribosomal RNA
Source: RNAcentral
ACUCCUACGGGAGGCAGCGGUGGGGAAUUUUGGACAAUGGGGGAAACCCUGAUCCAGCAAUGCCGCGUGAGUGAAGAAGGCCUUCGGGUUGUAAAGCUCUUUUGUCAGGGAAGAAACACCGGCUCUAACACAGUCCGGGAAUGACGGUACCUGAAGAAUAAGCACCGGCUAACUACGUGCCAGCAGCCGCGGUAAUAC